AUUUAGUUAGUAGUUAAGCUUCCUUCUUAGCUCCAUCUCUUCACACCAAUCCUCAUUAGCAUGUGAGUCAGCGUAUCGAUGGCGUAUCAGUCAGCAUAUCAGUGAAAUUAGUAAAGCUUUGGUGGAGUUUUAUCUCAGUCCAGGUUGAGUUCAGCAGCUGUAUCAGAGGCGUAUCAGCAGCUGUGUUUCAAGAGUUCACGUAUCUGGGGCCGCCAUUGAUUGUUAGGAGCCUGCGGAGACAAGACUUGAUACCAUCGUUGGGGAUGACGGGGAAGAGGUUUAAUUCUUGCAAAAGGGAUAUGUUUAUCCCUUGAUUGAUGACUGUUUAACUGUGAUCAAUACAUUGGUAAUAGCUUUGCCGUCUUACUACAUGGCAGCCUUCAAGCUCCUACAUAUUGGGGGUUAGUGACACGAUGGAUAGACGCAGUAAGGCUUUUCUUUGGAAGGGCAAGGAUUCAGUAAGUCGUUUCUUCCACUGCCUCGUCAACUGGAACAAUGUCUACGAGGAAAAAUUGGAGAGGGGACUAGGGGCUUGAAAAAGCGUCCAGAACUUAUUCUGGUGAGACGCUGGCUGGAACAAGGUUAUUGGAGCUUCCUGCUAUACAAACUAGGUCCUUACAUGCGUAAGAACCUGAUGCGUUUCUCCACAACUUGGAGGGAUGUGUGCAAGCCACCAAGUGCUUCCUGGAAUUGCUGCAGUUUCCAGCCAGGUAAGGAAGAAAGGAAGGAGCCCAGGGCGAGCGAUGUUCCCUGUGCAUAUAUGGAUCCUCUCUUAUAUGCUUGAUCUCUUGAACCUAAUCUUCCAGUAGCAGCCCAUUGGAACAGAAGAGAAUCAGAUUGGCAUCUUGAGCUGAUGAGGCUGCCCUCUACUGAUUACCCUCAUCGGAAAAUCUCUAAAGAUAACUACUACUCCCAAGACACUUCUUCCAAGCCAAUGCGGCACAGAGAAGGCACAACUCACACACGACGCUUGCGCUCAUUGGAGACCCAUCUUACCACAUAAUCAAAGAAUGAAGAGUAAGAGGCACUGAAAAGGUUAUAUAUUAUUUUGUAAGGAGAAUUAUACUGAAACUAAGUUCACCGGUAUCAGAGCACAUUAUUUUCUGAUUUUUUUUUCUUCCAGACGAAAUAUUAGAACAGAGCAACAAUUUCACCUGAUCUCUGGGUUGGCAAAUUUAUCAACAGAAUAACUACACCAACUGGUUGUAUAUCUUAUUACCAUAUCCUAUUCGUUACCUCCUUCCCAUCACUUCCUUCCGACACCUCACCCCAGAUCCUCCUGAUCCUCUUUUCUCAUCAUCAUUUCCAUCGGAGUCCCCCCCUAUCCAAGCCACCGCAUCCGAAAAGAUCCAUGCUACCUUCAUCUUCUGCCCUCUUUUUACAAAAAUUCACUCAUAUUAAUUGAAAGGCAACAACACUGCACCAUAUUUUCAUAGGCAAUGAAAAUUUAAAAAACACAAAAAACAAAAAACCAAACUUGGUCCCCCAGCAAACCAAGGAUCCUCUCUUUCUUCAUCAUCUACUUGGUUAAAGAUACUGACCCUGCAUCACUUCUUUGUUUCAGCCUUUUUAUUUUUUUUUUAAAUACAAGAAUACAAACCAAGAAUUAAAUAAAGAAUUAAAUACUGAUAAUGCUAAAUCCUCCCAGAAAGAUGAAAAACCUAUCUGAAAGGAUAAAGCAGAUGCCAAGAGUAAGUGCAUAGAAAAAAAUGAUAUUCAGCAACCAGUUUUUUUACACCAUGCAGUCUCAUCUUGUUUGAAACAAAAAAACAGAGCUAAGAACAUCUAUUUUGACAAAAAAUUCUCUUAUAACUAACUGACCCUUAAACUGGAGGAGCAAGAUUGGAAAGGACUGCAGAUUUACAUAAGUCAGAUAUAUACAUUUAUAAGGACUAAAAUAUCAUAAAUAGGAACGUGCACUUAAGGCUGAAAGUUUUGCAUCUUGUAUUAGAGUCAGCGGACCUGAAGUUACACAAGAUAAACCAAAACAUAGAUCAUCUUAUAAAUAAAAUAAAAAUCAGGUAGAACUCUUGUCAGUAGGGGCAGAAGCAACAACUAUACAUUGUAUAAACAAAAAUGACAAUCAGAUAACCUAUCUGAAAGUAGGGGCAGAAGCGAGAUGCAUUAAAGUUGAACGAUCAGGUAAAUGCCAUCACAAUCAAUACCAUAUGCAACAUGAGUAGAAUGUUUAAUCACCACCUAAACAGGUCCCCAAGUAACUUGGUGCUUUUCUAAGAGGAGAGAGAAAAGUUGAACAAUUGACACCGUAUAAUGUUCCACAUCUCUUUCUCAUGCUUUCUUCAAAAUUCCUUCCUCACACCCUUCUGUGCAAUGAAACCACUCUCAGAGCAUCCAUAUUUUCACAACAAAUCACAUGCACCUGCCUUUUUACUGUAAUAUUUUUAAAGUAUGAGUAGGAUUCGUUGCCAAGAGUGCCACCCUUGAGCUAGAUUAUUAAGGCCCUGCCCCAACUUGCAUGAAAGAUAUAUGAUGGAGAGGGUAGAUUUAAAUCGCAACCUAUAGUGCAUUAAGGGAAUGCUGACAUAUAUUUAAAUCACAGGCAGUAUAUAUGAUUCAAAUAAAUUGCAUCACAAUGAUAGUCUAUUGUGAAUACCAGAACCAAAAGAGUAAUGGCAGCACUAUGUACCUUUGCACAAGUCAUAGCAAGUGGGAGAUGCAGUAAUGUGCUCUACCUUAAAAUUUCUGCACUUCAUUAACAAUAGACAUCCACUCGCAGGAACCAAGUACUGACCUGAAAACUUCUAGCAGUGUGCACAAGUUAGACACUGUCAAAGAAGGCUCAGCUCUUUAUAAACACCCAUUCCGUAGUAAGAAGUAGAGUAAGAGUAAAAUAUUCAGAAUUUGAUCUAAAAGAAAACCAGAAAAAGAUGAAGGAAAAGUCACUUCCUGAGUGAAACUUAUAAGACCAAAGGACUACCAUCUUGUUCCUCCCAUUGAAUUCGCCUUUCAAAAUUUACAUGGAACAAAAGAUAUAGAAUGCUAGCACCAACAUUAAAUCUUCAUGCAACUUGCACAUGCAUUUUUUCCCCUUAGGAUGAAGGAGGGGGAAGGAGGGAAAGGCCGAUGCCUUAGGAUCUGGUGGUGGAGAUUGAGAGCAAGAAAGAGGACUCGCCUGGCUGGGAUGUUGUCAUUUUCAUCAUCAGAUGUGGAUGGUAUGCCAUCGGAUGGCAUCAUCAGAGGACCAAGGCUAAGGGGUGAGAUGGGAGAGCAGAGACAAGAGAGGAAAGGAGAGAUAGGAGAGGUGAGGACUUUGCGAGGGCUUCCAGCCAUCUGACGACUAAUUGACGGUAAGGGGGGGGGGGGAGAGCUUACCUAUUUGGGAUGUCGUCAUUGUUGGAUGUGGAUAGGACACUGUUGGGGAGUUGUCGGAGGAUAGAGGCUGGAGAAGGCAGGAGAGGGAGAGAGAGGGGAGGUGAGGACUUCAAGAGCAUUGGGAGAGCUGGAGAGGGUUUUAGGAGAGGGAUUAAAGCAUCUAGAUUCAACUGGCCGAACCAUGCCGGUAUUUGGUGAACCUUGCUUGAAACACUAGGUUCAACUUUCAAUCCUUAAAAAAUAAAAAUAGAGCCUGAGGUUGAUAUGUGUGUGCCAGUAUCUAUAUAAAACUAUAGCAUAACAAUAACAAUCAAAGACAUAUAUCAGGAUGUCGGAAUAUGUUGCCACUAUAUUACUAUUCUGAGGAAAGUUCUCUGAUUCUGUUAAACUGCAGGAUGUCAGACAUUUACAGAAAUGAAUUUCAUAUCCUCUAAUGUUUCUAGAAACACUUGCAGAGGAAAUUCAUUAUAGAUCCCUUGGCAGAACACAUCAAAGAAUCUUUGUCCAAGUGAUGUAUGGAGUUACAAGCAAUGGCUUUGCAAUAACUUCCUAUACUGGUUAAAGCUAACCAUUCUCUGUUUAAAGGUUUACAAGGAAAACUUACAAAAACUGAAACAUUUGCUUAAAGUAAAUUUGCCAAGUAGUAGUUUGGACUAAUCUGAAAUUUCGCUCGCAUAACUUGAAAAUGCAUGGAUGACCAGGUGCCUGCCUAGACAAGCAGGCAUCUUCAUACUUCUUCUGACAUUGUGAUCAUUAUUUGAUAACUAACCACACCAAUAAUCUUCAGAAAUUGAAUAUGCACUAAUUUUAAAGGGAUACAUAAAAGUUAAAAUAAAAUACAGGCUGUGAGCAAAAUGUCACUUCAUACUUCACCAAGAUGUAUGAUAGUCUUGAACAUUUUAACAAAGGGAGAGUGUGCUUCUUUAUUAAAAUGAUAGAAGGUAAUUUAUUAUCACCAGAAAGCUAAUAAGUCCCAAUCCAAAUAAGUCCAUUUUAUGCUUCAAAUAGUCCUAUAAUAAUGUACAAAACAAGGGAAGAAGCUUUGCCAAAUUUAUGCUCGUUAUGACGACUUCAGAAUCAGAAAAAGAAAUUAUUUCAAUUUACAAAAGCAUAUAGAUUCCAAAAUACUCACACGCAACUAAGUACAUUUCAAUUUACUGACUGGAAUGUGAUUAAGCUGUAAAUAUGGACCAAUGCAUUGCACGGAAAAAGAUAUUCUGGCAAAAAUUACUUAAAGAUGUUCAUUAACUACAAAUAACUUAGUUAACAGCCUCUACAAAAACAUCAGUUCAUGACCGCUUAACCUGGGAGAUAUUGCUCUGCAGCUGCAACCCUUGGUUCGAUGGCUUCACAAUUUGCCAUUACAUGAGUAUUAGGAAUGUGCCAUCAGUCUGGAAGAAAAAGUAAAUAAGAGGUCAAAGGACAAAAACUAUUACAAAUUACUAAAAAAUAGUUACUUAACAAAAGUAAUGUGUUUGUGCAGUUUUGGGGAAAACAUAAGCAUGAACAUUAAGCAACCGCUUCCUAAGAAAAAUCAUACACAAUCAUUUACUUCUAAUGAAUAUAAUAAUUUGCCACCUUUAAAGCAAAUUGAUGUUCUAUGAUAGCAAAAAUAUGAGGGACACAGAGUGAUGAGGGGAAAUAAACAAAAAGAAAUCUAAGUGAAAGAUAAGAAUGUUAUUGUUCAAUGGUGCAAAAAAUAAAAGAUACACUUUACUCUUCUCCAGGAUGACGGUUGAAUUGUACCAGAAAUAUACUUUCAAAAUUGUUCACCAAAGAGGUUCCCCCCCAUUUUUGCAAAGGUGACGACAAUAAUGAUAGAAGGUUCCAUUUUCAAAAGCUAGCCAUUCGGGAACUAAAUCUAAAUAGAGAAGAUGGAGAAUAAAAGAUUCCACAAACUCAAAUAGUUAUUGACUUAAAUAUAUAUUUAACAUUCGGCAGCCCAGAGUGUAAGAAAAUAACUAGGAACUAUUCAAAAAAUACAACAUUGAUUCCAGAUAUAAAUAUUGUUCGCACUACCUAUGGAUUUAAAGAAAAGUGUAAUGUGAAUACUGUUCCUAUACAAAAAAGAAUAUAAGUGAAGAAGAACAGAACUGAUAAUGUGAUUUUGGGAGACAGUGAGUGAAGAAGAAUAAAACUUCAAGAAAUAUUAUCCACAAUAUUAUCACAAAUGCAGUAGUGAUAUUGCAACUGAGUUCACUAGCAUCAAAACAUAUUAUUUUCAGAUCUUUAUGAUAAAAUAUUAGAACAGAAUACAUUUUCACCUGAACUCAACAGAGUCCCCUGGGUUGGAGAAUUUGUUUACAGAUAAUGCCAAAAUAAGCAGUAUAUUAAUAGGUCCCAGUCAAAGCUGAAUUACAAUUGUGAAAGUAAUAGUAUUCUCUUCGGGUGAGAAUGUACCGCAAGUAGUUGGAUAGAAAUUUUGCUUGCCUUUGUUCAUGCAUUCGGCAUAAUUUAAAUAGACAAUGGAUAACAACCUCUCCUACACUUACGACCAUAGUUUCCUAGAAUAAAGACUCUGACUGCAAAAUAAUAGCUAACAAACAACAAAAUAAUAGCUAACAAACACUCGACUUAUUUUAUGCAUGUGAACGUUAUCCAACAGAUUGGAUCAAUUCUUCCAUUAAAACUGCUACAGUCUUGGAUGACCAAGUCUUCCAACAGAACUGCAGCUAGCUUGGACCAAGUCUUCUUCAAUAGUCCCCAUGCAUGCCAUGUACGACGUUCCCUCACUCCCUAUUAUACUUGUGAUUCUUUAUGGGUGUGCGUUGGGUCCGCCUUGGCCUAUCAAUACCCCCCUCUUUCAAUGGAUCCUUGUCCUCAAGAUCCAUAGAUGGAAACUGGUCCCUCAGCUCCUUAAUGUUUUCCUAGGUAGCAUCCUCUGCAGGGAGUCUUUGCCAUUUAACCAAGCUCUCCUCAAUAAACUUCGAGCCUUUCUUCACCCAGCGAAUAUCCAGCAAAGCUUCCGGCGCCAGCACGAUUUCUCCUUCAUUAGUAACCGGUGGCAAGUCAAUACUGGUUGCACUAGCUUCGCCCAACUUCCUUUUAAGUAAGGACACGUGAAAAAUAGGAUGAACACGAGACCCCUCUGGAAGUUUGAGCUUAUAAGCUACCUUACCCACUCGCUUUUCAAUCGGAUAUAGCCCAAAAAAUCCGCUAGCUAGUUUUUGAUAUGCCCGUUUAAAAACUGUUUGCUGCCGAUAAGGAUGCAACUUGAGGAAAAUCAAAUCCCCGUCUUGGAACUCCACGUCGCGCCUCUUGGAAUCAGCUAUUUGUUUCAUGCGGUUAUUGGCUGCAUGCAAAUUUUCCUUCAAUUGUCGCAGCAAUACAUCACGGGAGGAAAGGCUUUGGUCCACUUCGUGGACUGGAGAUUGGCCCACUUGGUAGUGCGGAAUGGUUGGGGGCAGCCGACCAUACAGAGCUUGGAAGGGGGUCAUUCCUGUGGAUGAGUGAUAGGCUGUAUUAUACCAGAAUUCAGCCCAUGGAAGAAGAGAAUUCCAUUUUCGUGGCUGUUGAUGGACCAAGCAGCAAAGGUAUUGUUCCAAGCACCUAUUUACGACUUCUGACUGUUCGUCCGUCUGCGGGUGGUGGGCGGAACUCAUUUUCAGCUGUGUUCCUGAUAACUUGAAGAAUUCGCGCCAAAAAUUGCUAAUGAAAAUGGGGUCGCGAUCACUUAUGAUAGAUCUGGGCAUACUGUGGAGUUUAACCACUCCCUCCACAAAUUUUUUAGCCACAGUCUUUGCAGUAAACGGAUGAGUCAAAGCCAAAAAAUGUGUAGACUUACUGAGGCGAUCCACCGCCACUAAGAUAGUAUCCUUGCCGUUGGAUGGGGGAAGACCUUCAAUAAAAUCCAUAGUGAUGUCAUCCCAUACUUGGCAUGGAAUGGGUAAUGGUUGAAGGAGACAUGCUGGUGGCAACGUUUCUGCCUUAGCUCGCUGACAAACAUCACAAGAGGAGACAUAGUUGUGCACCGUGUGAUACAUCGACGGCCAAUAGAAUUGUUGGGCAAGUCUUUUGAAUGUCCGCAGCACACUUGAGUGACCACCACAUUGUGAAUCAUGAAAUUCCCUUAAAAGUUGGUUGAUUAUGGGCGAGUUGGGAGGCACUACCACCCGGUUUUUAAAUAAAAUCAACCCAUCACGCCACAUGUAAGAAGCCCCUGAUUUCUCAGUGGCUAACUUGCCAAUUUUCUCCAUGUACACGUCUCCCACAGUCGUGGCCUUAAUAUCAUCCCAUAAUUGGGCCUGCAAAAAAGACAAUGCAUUAAUAAUUGGGCCGCCCACCACUUGUGAGAGUGCAUCUGCUGCGCCAUUUUCUCGGCCUGGCUUAUAAAGUAUUUCAUAAUCAUAACCCAGCAGCUUUGCCACCCAUUUCUGUUGCUCUGGUGUGACCAUGCGUUGCUCCAACAAAUACUUGAGGCUUCGUUGGUCCGUCUGAAUAUAGAACCUCCGACCCAGCAGAUAUGGUCGUCAAGUUCGUAUGGCUUCAAUGAUGGCUAGCAUCUCCUUGGCGUAUGUGGACCACGACAGUUUUGAAACUCCCAGUGAGGAUGANNNNNNNNNNNNNNNNNNNNGUGCUUACGUUUAUUCUUGCAUCAUCUUCUAUCUUUGCACUAGUUUAAAUCAUUCAAAUAGUUUAAGUAAGCAUCCACCGCACUUAAUUAAGAAAACGUUUAAAGCACCAAAAUUUAGAAGAAACCAAUUCACCCCCCCCUCUUGGCUUGUCACCUUGGGCAACACCCAGGGCCCGGCUCAUGAAGGCAAUUGGUUUGCCUUGUUGAGUUAGAACCGCGCCAAUUCCCUCUCCUGAAGCAUCAGAUUCAAUAACAAAUGGCUCAUUAAAGUUAGGCAUAGCAAGAGUAGGAGUAGAGGUCAUAGCCUGUUUGAGGAAAGUGAAUGCUGUCUCAGCUUCAUCUGUCCACCCGAACUGCCCCUUCACCAGAUUAGUGAGUGGUCGCGCCAAUAUCCCAUAAUUACGAACAAAUUUCCAGUAGUAGCCUGUAAGACCUAAGAAACCACGCAAUUUUGAAAUAUUAGUAGGUCUAAGCCAAUCUAGCAUUGCCUUAAUUUUGCCUUGGUCUACUUUUACCCCUUGAGGAGUAACAAUGUGACCUAAUAUUCCAACUCCUGUUGACCGAAGGCACAUUUGCUGAUCUUAAUAAAAAAUUGGUGAUGCCUUAAUAUUUCAAAAGCUUGUUGAACAUGUUCAAGAUGCAUAGUCCAAUUGGGGCUAUAAAUUAAAAUGUCAUCAAAAAAGACCAAUACAAAUUUACGCAGAUAAGGGCGAAAUAUGGAAUUCAUAAUGGCCUGAAAAGUAGAGGGUGCAUUGCAAAGACCAAAAAGUAGAGGGUGCAUUGCAAAGACCAAAGGGCAUAACUAAAUACUCAUAAUGACCAUUGUGGGUAUGAAAAACAGUUUUAUGGAUAUCAUUUGGGUGUAUUCGUACCUGAUGGUAGCCGGCCCUUAAAUCUAAUUUUGUAAAAUAGGAUGUGCCAUGAAGUUCAUCUAGCAUGUCAUCGACCGUUGGGAUAGGAAAUCAAUCUUUGAUAGUAAUGAAAUUAAGGGCCCGAUAAUCAGUGCAAAAGCGCCAUGUACCAUCCUUCUUUUUAACCAACGGGACAGGUGAUGAAAAGGGAUUGGUACUUGAUCUUAUAAGCCCCAAUUUUAACAUGUCUUGAACUUGUUUUUCAAUCUCAGCUUUUUGAAAAUAGGCAUACCUGUAGGGUCGCACAUUGAUUGGUUCUAUGCCUUCUUUAAGAGGAAUGCAGUAGUCAACCUCCCUCUUUAGUGGUAACUGCGUUGGUUCUUGAAAAAUGUCAGCAUAAGCCUCCAAUACUAGCUGCAUAUCCGGUUGAACGUCCUGUCGUGGUACUUCUUCGAGUGACUGCAGACAAAUUGCAAACAUGGAACUCAUCUCAAUUCUUUAGAGACCACCUUCAGAGAUGCAGCUUGAAUGGGCUGCGCAUCAGUUCCUUGUAAUCUUCGAGCUUGAUUCUCCCAUUGGAAUUCCAUUGUCAUUUUUUUCUAAUUACAAACAACCGAACCCAAUUGCUCCAGCCACUGUAUACCCAAUACUAAGUCCAAACCAGUUAGUGGUAAAGAAUAGAGGGUAAGGAAAAAAGGGAUACCCUGAAGGAGGACAUGCACGUUCUCAAAUCUUCCCUGGCACUACAAUCGAUUCCCAUUAGCAACCCGCACCGUGAAUGGCUCGAUAGGAACCAUGGGUAAGUGAAGCAAACUAGCCAUCUUUUCACUAAUAAAAUUAUGGGUAGAGCUGUUGUCAAUGAGCACAACCACUUUAUGAUGCCCGUCUCUAGCCGUGACCCGCAUUGUUUUGGAGGUGGACCAUCCAGUCAACGCAUGCAAGGAUAUCUCUGGUUCAGGCUGAAGAUCGGAUGUAGGCUCUUCUGCAACCUCGUCAGUAAAUUCUUCACACGUAAUGUUGCCCGCACUAGUGCUUCCUUCAAGUAGUAAGAGUUGCGGUCCUCUGCACUUGUGUCCCACAGUGAACUUGUCAUUGCAAUUAAAGCAAAGACCUUGAGCUCUUCUUUUCUGCAUUUCUUCCCACGUUAGGCGCUUCACUGGGAAUGCUGGUAUGGAUCUUGUUGGAGUUGAAAUGUCCAGCUACGGUCGGUUGAGUUGAGGUGGCAAUGUAAAUCUUCGUUGGCGCAAGAGCUGGUCGUCUCGCAUGCAGGCAAGGCUGACAGCCUCCUUCAAUGAUUUCGGCUUAAACAUCCGGAUGCCUUCUGCUAUUUCGGGCUUGAGACCUCCCAUGAAAGUUCCCACCAAUGCCUUCUGCGUCCACCCAUGCACUCGGUUGCCCAGUCUCUCAAACUCUUUCUGGUAGUCUCGUAAGGAGCCCACCUGUUUGACCCAUGAAAGUGCCUCAUCAAAAUCCUCACAUUCGGUUGGUCCAAAUCGAGCCCACAGUUCUUCCUCAAAAAUGGUCUAGGUCACAGCUCGCCCUUCCUCCCUGUAUGCUCGGCGCAGCCACUGCUAUCAUUGGUUGGCUUCCUCUUCCAAAUGGAACAAAGUCGAGGAGACUUUUUGUGCUUCAGUAGAGCCUUGGUACUCAAAGAAUUGAUCUACGCGGUUGAACCACUCAGUGGGGUCGUUGCCAGAGUAUUUUGGAAACUCAAGUUUGGCCAUCUUUGAAGAGAAGAUCUGCCUUCCUCCGUCCAUGUCAUCUCUGUUUUCUUCCCUGUUGGUGCGAGAAUGACCAUCUCGGUCAUUGUUGAUGUUGCUGGAGCCUUCCUUGUUGGAAAACAAAGCCUCGGACAGUCUGUUGAUGGUCCCCUCGAGUUGGUGUAGCUUGUCAGCAACUCCCAGCUCCAUUCAAUUGAUGCCAUCUUGAAGUCCUCCAAGCCCUGCUUCUAAUCUCUCGAUCCUCUCCUUGUUAGUUGCCAUUGUAACCCGGGCUCUGAUACCAAUAAUAGGUCCCAGUCAAAGCUGAAUUACAAUUGCGAAAGUAAUAGUAUUCUCUUCGGGUGAGAAUGUACCGCAAGUAGUUGGAUAGAAAUUUUGCUUGCCUUUAUUCAUGCAUUCAGCAGAAUUUAAAUAGACAAUGGAUAACAACCUCUCCUACACUUACGACCAUAGUUUCCUAGAAUAAAGACUCUGACUGCAAAAUAAUAGCUAACAAACAACAAAAUAAUAGCUAACAAACACUCGACUUAUUCUAUGCAUGUGAAUGUUAUCCAACAGACUGGAUCAAUUCUUCCAUUAAAACUGCAACGAUCUUGGAUGACCAAGUCUUCCAACAAAACUGCAGCUAGCUUGGACCAGGUCUUCUUCAAUAGUCCCCAUGCAUGCCAUGCACGUCGUUCCCUCACUCCCUAUUAUACUUGCGAUUCUUUAUGGGUGUGCGUUGGGUCUGCCUUGGCCUAUCACAUAUAAACAAAUGAAAUUUUCUUACAUCUUGUAUAUCUUCUUACAAUAUCCCGUUCCUUCCUUCCCGUCAUCUCUUUCCACCACCACACCUAAAUCUUCCUGAUCAUGCCACCUUCACCCUCUACCCUAGUUUUGGUUAAAAUUUCCGUUCAUAUUUGGUUAAUGGAAGCAACGCCGCACCAUAUUUUCAGUAGCAUUGUGAAAAUUAAAAAUAAACACAAAAAACAAAUAUCAAACUUGGUCCAAAGUACCGUUCUGUCCACCGGCACUGCACCAACAUCCUCUCUUUCUUCAUCAACCCCUCGGUUGAGUUACCGACCUUGCACCACUUCCAGAAGUUUCAGCCUUUUUAAACUAAAAAAAGAAAUACAACGAUAAUAUGAACCUAGAAAUAGAAGAAACUAAUGAAGAAUCGAAACCCUGGAAGCUAAAAUCCUCCAAGAAUCGAUGAAAACCCUCAUUGGAACAAGAAACAAUUAAUUUCCACCUGGACUCAAAAAAGUGAAACAAGAACCGAACCCUUAGGUUACCGACCAAGAUCUCUUUCUUCAUCAUCUCCUCGGUUAAGUUAUCGACCUUGCAUCACCUCCAAAAGUUUCAGCUUUUUUGUAACUGAAACAAGAAAUACAACGAUAAUACGAUCCAAGAAAUAGAAGAAACUAACAAAGAAUCAAAUCCCCAGAAGCUAAAACCCUCCAAGAAUCGAGGAAAACCCUCAUUGGAACGAGAAGCACUUAAUUUCCACUGGAAUUCAAAAAGUGAAACAAGAACCGAAACCUUAGGACAGAAACCCUCGGCAUUCGUUCAAAACCCUUGCAGGACCAAGAAUCGCAUAAAAAGGAAGAACGAGAAGAGAGAAGAGAGGAGAGAUAGAAUACCGAAAGCACUGAGAUGUUCUGGACGGCGAAGGAUUCGUAGUGAACAUAGAUCAUGGACUUCCGAUUGUCAUGCCUCUCGUCCACCGCUCUGCGAGGGGCCUCCGUCCUUCUUUCCUUCAUCUGAAUCUCGCUCUCUUUCAAUUGUGUCGCCUGAAACGAGAGGGGGAAACAAAGCUAACGAAAGGUGCGGGCCCUAUUUAUCGGAGUGGAGAUGGCGGUGGGUCCCUUUGUGAUCCGUGUACUGCCAGCUGUUAUCUGAUCGCACGCGCGUAUAACGUUUUUUUUCCUGGUGAUAUAUGUGCCCUCCGUUUUAGCCGAUCUAAGUGAUCCCGUCCGUCCGUUUCUUCGUGAUGUCACUGGUGAACAGGAUUCAAGAUCCGCAGGCGGCAUAGGAUUUUCCGCAGGCACGCGCCGGGAUAGUGGGAUGAUGGGAAAGCAGAUGGUAAGGCCUACGGACCAAAAUCUACUCUGUAUGGGCUGGAUUGGGCUGGGCCGGUGAAAUAUUUGAAAUUGUCUCCACUUACAUUACAUACUAUCUUUCUUUUCUUGUCUCGUGAAAAUUUACCCUGCUUGUGCAUCAACAUACAUAUUUUCAAAGGUAUAUUGGAAUUUUCCUGGAAUAAAUGUGUAAUAUAUAAAUGAAAGAUGAAAUCGCCUAAUCUCUUAGGUGAAAUCUCGGAGCUUCCUAAUGGAAAAUUCUUAAGUUGUCUGAGUACUCGCCCCAGUAAUCAAUGAAGCAAAGAUUCGGAAGAUUUGCUCUCAAUGUUCCUUGCAUUAUGACAACAACCCAGCUUCAAUCUUCUGAGGUAGAGUCUGCAUAGCUCCAAAUGAGCCAGUGUGACACAAUGAUAAGAUUGUGAAGUGCCAAACAUCCAUGAUGCCAGUUCUGCUAAAUUUACAACCCUCCAGCUCUAAAACACGCAAGAAUCCAAAGGAUAAUAUAUUAGCAGGCAAAUCAUGAAAAACGUUGUCCAUUUCAUUCUCCGCAUUGCAAUUUUUGCCGGAGGAAUGAUGGCGUUCCUGGUGGCAAAAAAAAAGUUGCAGACAACUCUUCGAUUGUGUUAUAUGACGCCAAAAAUCUAACUAUUGUCUAAUGGUUCUUGAUGAUGCAUAGCUAGUACCUUCGCACCGUCAAAGAUUCAUGAUGGAGCAUCGCUGAAAGCACCAUGAGUUCCUUCUCGUCCGUGUCCUCCCUGAUAUCAGAGAAAUCCACAAAAACUAAUCAGUUAUCAGUGGAUACUACCUAUAUUUAUAUAUAUGUAUGUAUGUAUGUAUGUAUGUAUAUAUAAUAUAUGGAUAGUACCUAAAUUUCCUUUAUUGAGGGCUCUUUCCAAUGUAACAUCUUGUCAUCUUUGAACAAGAUGAUCACAAAAUAAAAGAGCAUGCUUGUUAGGCUAAUGCUCUCCAUAUGCGAAAUAAUGACAUGAAUAAGUAGGAAAUAAAGAAUCUCUGUGGAUGAAGACACGCUGACAAGGGAAUUCUUGCAAACAAUACAACUUUUACACCAUCAGCAUCCUAAUCUUCAUCUGCUUCUUACAAACAAAAAUUUAAUUAAAAGACUUCGCCACAAAAUUUUUCAGAUCGAUGUCCCAAUCCGACAUGCAUGAUCAAGGCUAAGGAAUCCCCAGAAGCCUGUAAAAGUCCUAAUCUAGAACUUUGGUGAUGAUGAGCUACAACUUUUUAAGACUUGCGAGAUAUAAACCAACUGCUUCCCGGCAUCCUCUUAACACCUCUUUCCUCCAUCUCUCUUCUGACCCUCUCUGCCUCCUCGUAUUUCCCUGCAGCAGCGUAAAUACUUGACAGCAGAACAAAGCUCCCUGCGUUCUCUGGCUCUAUCUCAAACAACGCUCUUCCUGCAAUCUCCGCAAGCCCAACUUCUCCAUGAUUCCGGCAAGCCCCAAGAAGUGCCCCCCAAGCCUUAGCAGUUGCUUUCACCGGCAUCCCCUGUAAAACCUCAUGAGCGUCAUUCAAUCUCCCUGCUCGGCUCAAAACAUCCACCAAGCACGAGUAGUGAUCACUGCCUGCCUCCACUCCAUAGUGUUUGGUCAUUAGCUCGAAAUAUUCCAAUGCAUCAUCUGCAAGUCCGGCAUGACUGCAUGCCUUCAACACGCUAAGAAACAUAAUCCCAUCUGGCCGUACACUGUCCCUUUCCAUUUUCUGAAGAAGAGACAUCAUAAUUCGAGCGUUGCCAUGGAAUGCAUACGCUGAUAUCAUGGAGCUCCAUGCUACCACGUCCCUCUCCGGCAUCUGAUCGAAAAUUUUACGUGCAUCGAUCAAACAACCGCACCGGCCGUAAGCUUCAACGAGUCCGCUGGACAGGUGGGAAUGCAGUUGGAUGUGAUGUCUCAUGGCAAACCCAUGAACUUCUUUGAUCAAAUUCAAUGAGCCAAUGCUUACACAAGCAGGUAAGAGUGCUAGAACCGUGAUCAGGUUGGGCUUCAAACCCGAUCCCUGCAUCCGCCGAUAGAAACCGAGGGCUCGAGACGACCCGUCAUCGGACUCUGCGAGUGACGCGAUUAUUGAAUUGUAGGAUGACUCGGUGGGAGUGACAUCCAUGAGCUCAAACAACCGCAGCGCGUUGGUUAUAUCGUUAGAACGGGAGUAGAGAGAGAUCAUCGCAUUCCACACGACAACAUUCCGCUGCGGACAUUCCUCGAACAAUUGUCGGGCAGAGGUAAUGGAGAUGCAUUUGCCACAAGAAUCAACGAGAGCGGAUGCAACGAAUGGGUUAGAGAGCAGACCGGCCUUGACGGCAUGGGCAUGGAUCAGAGCCACGGCGUGCGGGAGGUGAAGGGCGGCGGAAGACUUGAGGGCGAGGGGGAAGGCAUAUGGGUCCAGAGCGAGGUCGGGGCUGGAGAACAACUGGGAGAAGAGGGUGAGGGCUUGGUGGUGAUGGCCUUGGUUCACAUAGGAAGUCAGGAGCUUGGUAUACGCAAGUAGCCGUUGGUGGCUGUUCCGGAGGAAACGCAUGGUCAACUUUAUUCUCCUUCAGUUUCUCCUCCUGGUAUUUGAAUGAAUCCCUCAAAAGGGGUAUCCUAGGAUUUGAUAGCGCUGUACCUGUUCUACUGUCUACUAUUUAAGAUGAUGCGGAUCUUGGCGACAUUCACAUCUAUUGUGUAUGAGCCGUUGUUAUACUAAAAAAAAAAAAUGAUGCUACUGCAAUGAUGAGUCCCAAAUCUGGUGUUUUUGUUGGUUUUGCAAAAAUGAAAUACCACCGUUCUUUGCUUGUGAGAUUUUCUAUGUCUAUAAAUAUUUUUUCUUUUUCCUAUAAAAAUAUGUUCCAAUUAAUUUUAUGCUUGAAUGAAUUAGAGUCAAGGAGUGAGAGUGCAUUCAUUAGAUGGAUGAAAUCAUCAUGGUCAUUGAUGAUUCUUUUGACAUUAUUAUAGCCAUCUAUAUUUACUAUAUAUCAAGUGCAUUUCAUAUAUCCAAUCUAAAUUCAAUAAAAGUUUAAGAUGUCUUUGAUUUACAUUUUUUUUCUUUUAGAAUCAAAAUGGGAGAAAAUCUAGUCAAAAUUGGGUGAAAGCAGUUGAACCCAAGUCAUCCAUGCCACGACACUGUGCAUUUUACAGAAUUUUGUUAUAAUUAAUCAUGAUAUUUCAUGCAUGCGAUAAUAAGGUGACGCAAUUAAUAUGAAUAGCACAUGCUAGUUUAUCAUGAGGUUUUAGUGUGAUCCAUGAAAACAUAGGAUGUUGAUUCAUCCCCUUGAUAUCAUCACAUGAUAGCAUUUGUAGUUGCAAGUACUAUUGGCCUAAACUAUUUUCUUAAGAUAAACUAGCAUCAUAAAUCUUUAAUUAGAGUGGGUUUUGCAUAAAAAUUAUUUAAUUAUUGAUUUUGUAGAAAUUUUUCAAUUAAUCUCUUCACCAAGUGGUAAACAUUUAAAGAUUUUCCGACAAUCCUGUUUGUGAGCCCAAGUAUGAAACAUGUGAUGCAUGAUUAAAAUCUGCUAUUUAUUUUACUUUAUCGCCCAUCUCACACUUAGUCCUUGAUAUAAAUUUAUUCAAACUAUCUAAAUAUAUAAAUUGUAAAAAAGAAUCAAACUUUUCUUGCAAAAUGAAUAAUUAAGAAGUUGUGAUCAUCGAUCCUACCUCCGCACCAUUAUAACUAACUGCCUGUAUAUUAAUAAGCUAUUCCUAAUUUAAUUUAAUUCUUGUUAUAAACAAGAAAAAUCAAAAAAAUAUUAUUCUGCUAUUGAUUUAUACCUCAAAAUCAAGAUGCAAUUUUUUUUUAAAGAUCAAUAGGCACCUAGUGCCUAGAGGAAUUUUUUCUAAAAGUUAACAAAUCAGAAUAUAUUUAGUCAACCAGACAAAUAACAAAACUUCUAGUUUGAUUGUGGAGAGAAUAAUAAAUUCGGUCUUCCAGCUCAGCUGUACAAAACGAGAAACAGAGAAAGCUCCAAUCACUUCAAAUCCUCGAGAGGAUAAUUUCUCCUCAAGAAAAAUUUUUAUAAAAAAGGGGCAGACGGACUAUUUUAAAACGUAUUCGAACCAACUAAAGGAAGAAAAUGGAAAAAGGAGAGAUCUUUCGAAGUUGUCUGAGUCUUGUUAUAAGUAAUGGAGCAAGAGAGAUUACAUUUUUAUGUGAUAUUCUCUAUUUCUUCUAAGAAUUCUUCUAGAUUUCUUCGUGCUGGUUGACAGAAGCGGUUCAAUGCAUUUGGAGGCCUAAAGCGAACUCAUUAAGAGGAAUCUUUUUCCUUUUUCUUUUGUCUUUGAGGCAUUCCCUGCGGAAGGCCUUUCUUGCGCCGGGGCCUUAGGCAACCGUCUUAGUCGCCUAAGAAUUGGGCCGGCCCCACUGGUUGACAACGUGUACUACAAGUGGCAUUUAGAGAUGAGGGUAGUCUUGAUGUGUGGGGGACGAGGAGAGAACCCGUAGAGGGGCGUCCCAUGCUGAUCGCUUUAGGAAACGGACUGGACACCCUCGGAAGUCGGAAGUGCGACUACGGUUCGGCACCUAAGCAGAACCAAUCUGCACCCAGAACGGUUGAAGCUGGAACUUGAACUGAUGUUUUUUUUGAAGCCCCUUGCUACAGAGGUGCAUUGCAGGGGCUGUGUUUUUUUUUUGAAGCUUUUUUGUUGAAUUUAGUAUUUAAAAUAUUCAUGCUGUAAAAAGCCUUGAGAAAAUUCUGGCAUAUCAAAGUGGAAUAAAUAAAUGAAUAUGUAGAGUGACAAAUUUGAUGAGUUCCAACAAGGCAACAAUCAAAAGAUUGGCAAUAGCAGACUACAACAGUAAACCGAUCUUUGGUUUCCACAAGUAUAAUAAUUUAGAAUCCAUAUAUAUUUGUCCCUAUAGAUGUCAUGACCCUUGAAGUCAGCUCAAGCUCUAAGAGCUCAUUAUCAUAAAUUAUCCUGGAUAAAUCAUGUUUCAAUGGAAAGAUGCAAUGGUAGCACCCAAGUAUAUUUCCUGAAAUAUAAUUAGCUGCUUCAUAAAAGUGAGGUUCAAUUUCUGAAAGGUGCUUGCAAUCUUAAGCAAAAGCUUCACAAGCUCAAGCUCACACUCACCUUAUCCCCACUAAACCCAUGAACAUCAAAUUCCUUGAGAAGACAAGCUCAAUUUGCCAUCCAAAUUAUGCAGCCUUCAGUUCUCUCCCAAUCCAAGCAUGCUCUAAUUAGAAUCAACUUUCUAAACAAAUAGAGAAUAAGAUGGUAUAACCAAAAUGCUGAAUGUAUAGCAAUCACCUCAGCUGCAUUGAUCGUGAGAGUUCUGAGAUUAGGAUAUUUUUGCAAUAAGGUUUACUCACUUCAAUGAUCUGACUGUGUCAAAAACUUCACAUUCUUCAGGUUUUAUUUUGAAAGUGGUAAGCAUUUUUCAGUAUGUUGCACUUCAGAUAGGAACUAUACUGCAUAACAGAGUCAUAGGUUAGAAAUCAAUCUCCAUGGAAAAAAUAACAUUACCUCUGAAGCCAUGAACAUGACAAUAAAGAACAUGUUAAGCCAAAAACAACAUGAUAUCUAAACCAAUCUUCAUAUGAUUAACAUGAUAAUUUGGAGCAGUACCUUCAAGUUUGUUCCAGAUAGUGCCCAGGAAUCGACAUUAGCGCUGUAAGAAUUCAAUAAUCAUGGAACGGAUCAGGAAUAAAUUCCAAAGACAAAGUUUUGACCUAUUAAAUCUUAGUAAUUGAACGAUAGGAUACUUGUCAUUAAACCCUUGAAUAUCUGGUCAUAAUAUCUAAUGGUAUUUUUCAUGCAAUGCAACAUAGCCAUCAUAGAAAAAUCUUACAUAUACAAUAAAAUACUUGAGAUUGGAGGCAGAAAAUCUGAUGUCUCAACAUGUUGAAGAUUGCAACUCUGUGAGUCCAAAUUCUCAGGUGGAUAGCAAGAUAGAAGUUUAUCAGAACAUAGUGAAACAAGAUGAUAAUCUUUUGAGCCCUUACGUCUUAUUAAGAAUUCAAGCUGAGUUCAUCAAACCAAAACUUUAGUUUCAAAACCCUUAUGUCUGAACCCAUAGGAAUCUUGUGAGUCUUGGUGAUACGAAGGCCCAUCAAAGAAUUAGUACUUUAGUGCCAUGUACGGGACAGAAGCUUGACCUUGGAUGGAAGUGAGCUCAUUCAUGUAAUUGAGCCAUGGUUAGGUCCAUGAGUACUGCAAGUCAUUGGUUGAGACACCAAAUUACUUGUACUCAGUGGCAUAAUAUAUAUUCCACAGUUGUCUUAUUCCGAAUACCUUACCUGCAUAUAAUUCUGUAAAGCCUCAUAGAAAUUGAAGAAUCUUACUCGAGAAAAUCUGCAGUUGUGAGGAUAUAUGGUGUAAAUCAUAGCAAGGUAUAGGUACCAUGUUUUUUUAUAUUCAGCCAAAAUAAUUUUUGUUUUAGUCUUUACUGAUUCUGGAGAAUUUAGAGUAAGCUCAAGGUUAAGCCUUCCUUAGUGAAAUUGUUUGAUGGUUGUAGGUCAGGUUUUCAAUUAUACCCUCCUUUCUCUCUGUUUUAAGUUUUCAUUAGUUACCUCACCACCCACCCCCCAAAAAAAUCAAUAAAUAAACAAAAAUAAAGGACUUACACCACAACAAUUAUAGUCCUAAAGAUUCUAGCGUUAGCGGUGCCCAAGCAGCAAUAGAAUUAGUUUGUGAUGCAUUUAUGUAGUUUUGGGACACUCUAUCCAUGCCAUUAGAAGAAAAUAUAUCGAACCUUUGUUAUUCUCUUGCACCUGUGACCAAUAUCUCAAGCCGUGUGAUCGAUGUUGAUCAGGAUUUUUUUUAUAUAUUUCUCGAGAAAUGUAGAUAAAAAAUUCUUUUGCAAUUAUUAGGAUCAUACCUUUUGUGAAAUAUUCAAAGGGAAGCCUUAUCAAAGAACAAAGGGCCAGAUUACAUAUCUGCAAUUUAUCUUUUGCUAAUGUUUCUGCUAUUUUAAAGCAGCACCCAAGAGGCAAAAACACUACUUCUCAAGUAAGAUAUAAUUACAAAAAUUCCUGCUAAAAGUAAAAGCAGAUUAUUGAAGACAAGCAUGUAGGAGGAUAGAAGAUGUUAGUGGUCUUUGGAUCUCUUCAUGCUGAAUAUUCACAUUACUGCUUCCAUCUGCUCGCAUUGUCUCCUGAUUCUCCAGUCUUCUUUGAUGGAACUAGAGUAACUUUUUCUGCUGAAAAUACGUUACUAGACAAUAAUUUCACAAAACUGAGUUCAUUUUCAGUUGCACCAAAGUUACUGAUCUCAACCACCCUAAGAUGACAUAGACGAGCCGAAUCUGGCAUAGGGGCUAUGGAUCCUCCUUCCAUGCAUAAAUUAUUUGGCACCUGCUUAAAAGUGAAUAUCAUAAAAUCAAACUGUUUGAAAUUACCAAGGAAGCAUGGAUUCUGUCAGUCCUCUUAUCACCUCAUAUUGAUCAAUCACCAGAGAUUCCAGAUUGGGCGAGCGCUGAAGCAGGCUAGUUAUCGCUGCAAUGCCAUCUCUGUCAAGUGAAGUGCCUGCUCUCAGAUGCUUAAGUUUGCGAAAUAUGGGAAGACUCUGCGAACGAUCUCUUCUUUGCAGGAGAAACUUGAAGAAGAAUAAGAUGCAAGUACAAGGAUCACAAAAUGCUGGUGGAAACAUAAAACAUGCAACCAAAGACUACUUCCACCUUAAUUUAUAUCAAACAAGAAUUAGAUUCCAAUUCAACACCCAACUGGGAUAACAUGUUGGAGGAUGAAAAGGGGACGCAUACCUUGAAGGCAACAGACAAGAAUUCCAGAGACUCAACAUUAUGAAGUCCUGCAAGCAAGUUACUUAUUCUUCUAUAGCGAUCCAUAUCCCCAGCAUCAUCAUCAUUCGAUGAAUUAGAAAAGAGGCAGAUAGAAGCACACGUCAAAGAAGACAAGUUCAUUAGAGUAAGUUCUUGAAACACCAUGCCCCAGUAGGCAAAGGACAGCAGUCUUGGAGCAGAAAUCCGAACCACGGCCUCGGCAUCGUCAGGUACAUAUAGUUCUAAUCUCUUAAGUGCAUGGGAACAAAUCUCUAAACUAGUGAAAUAACAAUGCUCGAAGGAUAAAACUUCGAGGAGAGGGCAUCCAGAGAGGAGCUCCUUUAAUGAGUCAUCCAGGAAUUCGGCAUAUGAGACCUCCAACCUCUUGAGCUUAGGGAGGGAUACCGAACCAGGCAAACCGAUGAAACCACACAUAGCUUCCAGCUUCAGCACCUGCAGUGACUGGCAACUGAAGAUACAGCUCGGCAAGCUCUCAUCUAUGUACAGAUGCAUUUGAAGCUCGAGACAUUUAACGUUACGUUUCACCACAAAACGUAGCCAUCGGUCAGCUUGCUCCAAAUCUUUCCCUUCCCCCAGCCAUUGAAGGCGGAACGUGGAGAUGUCCGACGCAUCGCGGAGGAGGAGGACAGUGUCGAUAAAGUUCGGGAACCUCCGUCUACCAUCCGCGGUGGAAUCGAAGUCAUCAGAGGAGAAUGACAGGCUAGGAGCCGACGCCCACAGGUGCGUCCACCUCUUUGACAGGAUGCUCGCCUCCACAAGUUGUCGGGUGGGGAGGAACGAGAAUAUGUGGUGGAGAAUGGCAUCAGGCAAUUCACUGAUCCUGUCGCGGCUUCUUCCAAUCUCCAUGGCGCCACAUCCGCUUCCUGCUAUCCGACCGACCGACAUCUAUCUUGUUGCUGUGCUCUUCAUUGUGUUUAUGACUUUUACGAAAUCGGGAUCUGAAUUUCGUCAAAACUCGGAUUCAUCCAUCGAAAAAAGGAACGGAUUUGGGUUUCUCUCUUGUAAUGAAACAGUAAAUAGUUGUGAAAAGUGAGAAUUAUCGACCAGAGAUUUUGUUCAUCGUCGGAAUACCAUAUGAACAAUUAGUGGGAUUUGAUGCUGAGAAAAUCUAAUAACAGCUGUGAAGAGAAGCUGUAAGAACUAAUUCAUAAAUUGCCCAAGAAGAAGGACAGAUCCAGACCUUAAAGAGACGAGAGUUAGAGGAAAAUUACCGGAGAAGAAGAAAAUGACGACGUCGUUCGCUCGUUCGCCCGGUGAAAAAUCCUAGCUAAUUUCCGACGGAUACGACCCGCGCGCGUCCAAAUAAACCCCAGGAAGGGCGACGACGGCGAUCGCGAGCGAUGGCCGCUUGCGGUUAUGCCCUAGAGGAGAGGAGCAAAGGCAGUGUAUUUUCUCCGGGAGCGGGAGCGAUCCAUAAAAUACGGCCACGUAUUAAUAACAUUUUCCUGAACAAUCUUCUUUGAGAUCUUGUUGGCCGUAGUGACACCGUCGAGUGUGAGUCCCCGCUGUUAAAAAAAAAGAAAAAAAAAUCGUAAGUAAUUAAACAAUAAUUUAGGGACCCUUAAUAAAAUUGCUUUGACGCUUCCUCAGUCGGCAUUUUGAACUCACAUUAACGGUAAAACUUUCAGAUAGUCCUUUUUUUUUCUUUAUUAUUUUUUUGGGAGACAAACUUUCAUCAUUAGACAGCUCUCAGACCAUGCGUAAAACUUAUAUAGCCGAAAGCUCCACCCCAAGUUCGUUGUUGUUUCUUAGGAGCUUCUACCCCCGGCCAUCUCAAUGUGAACUUUGAUUGUUGUACUACUGGUGAUGGAGAUAGAGCAGUGUAGAGUUCGUGAUCAGGAGUCAUGACUCACAGGUCAUUGCUGUAGGCAGGUGAUGCACAUAUGGACUGACAUCUAUAGGAGCGGAGCUCAGAGCAAUAUAGGAAGGUAUUUCCUAUGUGAGACAGAGGUUGAAGGCAGAGCGCAUUAUUUUUAAGGGCGACUCGGCCACAGUAAUCAAUUAGUUACGCGAGGAGGGGCGGAGAGGGGAUGAGAGUCCUCUACCCGGUGAUAUCUGGCAGAUGGUGAGAGACUGCAUUAUCUUUCAGGCAGUGCAUGCGUAUAGAUAGGCUAGGCAAAUAGGGCUGCCGACUGGGUCGCCUCCUAUACAUCACAACAUUUCGGAGGGGUUAUAUGGACCAACCAGAAUAUCCCUCCUUCACAGUUUUGCUAAAUUGUCGUCCUAGAUUCUGUUGGCUGUACUUAUACUAGAAUAGGGUGAGCAACCAUUGUAUCGAAAAAAAAAAAAGGGGGGGGGGGGGGGGGGGGGAGUGAAAAGAGAUAACUAUUUCUAUGAUGUCAUCCACAUUAGUUAUAUUGCAUAUCAUAUUUGGUUGUUCAGAAAUAUUUGCAUAUUUGAUAAUUUUAACAAAAACUCUCAAGUGACACUCAUGAAGGUAUCCUUUCAGGCAACUGAGUUCAUUCAUGCUAAUACCAUAGAAGAACUUUUGAUAGUUAGACACACCUGAGACUAUUGCUCGCAAUUUCUGCGCCAUUCAUUGUGAUUUAUUCCCCAUUGGAAUCCUCCAAGCUCCCUCAAAAUUAACUUUUACAGUAGCACUUUGGGUGGUGGUUUUACUAUUAGUGCAAGGGUCGUCGUUAGAAGUCCUAAUUCACCAUUGGUAGCAGCAAGUGGUUCGCAUUUGUAUGAUUCCACCUAUUCUGAUGGCAGAACUUAGGGGAGCUUGGGAAGGUCUAUUAACUAUAUAUAUGCCACCACUAUUUGAGGGCACCCAACAUUACAUUGAGGGGGACUUAAUGACAAUGAUUACCUAGGUGACCAAUCCUAUUAAGUAGGUUGAUGAUGCACAUCCUCUUCUAGCUAAUAUUUGGAGGAUUUGUUCAUUCUUGAUAGUUUUAAAGUUGCUCAUGGAUAUAGGGAGGCCAGUGCAGAUUGAAUCACUUCCAUGCAACUAAUCAUAUGGGAUAAAUCAUUUGGCUCUCCCUUUUUUUAUUCCCGGGCUGUAUGCUGAAUUUAUGCUCGAGCCUAAGUCAGCAAAGAGCUCGAGUGGCUUAGGCUUGUAAGGAAACCAAGCAAAUAUCAAAUUUGAGCUCAGCCUAGUUCAACAAAGAGCCUAAAUUUGAAGCGUCAUUAGGUUUGAUGGUUUUGGGCUAGCGUUUGAGCAGCAUAGUUUCAACCUUGAAUCCCCUUAGAUUGUUUUUUCAUCUAAAAAUAAUGGCUGUUAUAAUAUUUUGGACGUCUCUUAUUACGUUAGAUGUAUCGAUUGAGAGACUUGAUGUGAUAACUUUCAUUUCAUUGUAAAGGCCUUUAUUCAUUUAUUUGUUAUUUAUUUAUUAAGAAGAGAGGCAAACCUCAUUUGUAUUAUCGGAUGGUAAGUAGAACUUAGAAACGGACGAACACACGGUGGAAGGAAACGUGUACAUAGGACUGGUGCAUGACAGAAAAGAAGACGAUGACCAACCAUCAGCACAAACAAACAACACACAAAAAAAAAAGCUAGGAUGCAUGGUCCCACCCAGCAGCCCGCUUGGCAACCAACGACACAAUAGACAAAGCAUGGCCCAACCAUGCAAUGCGAAGGGGUCCGGGUCCGGCGGCCUUUGGGGACGGCACUGCCCCAUUUCAUAGAGCCUAGCUUGUAUUUUGCAUUCUGACUCUUCAUAGCGUACUCGUAUCUGAGUGUAGUGAGACACCGAUGUACCCCCCCAAAAAAAGACGGGGAGGGGGAGGGGUGUUCUUGUUGAAAGGUUUUGCACCUUAUAAGGCUGAUUCUGUAGGAUUGUGUUCUACACAGAUCUCAAAGCAGUUCAAAUUUUUUCGUUCAUCCAUUUGUAUAGAUCUUAAAGCAACUAUCAUGUGAUCUAAUAGGGGACGCGUAUAAAGAAAAUAUGAAUUCUUCUUUUGUUCGAAAGAUACAACCCUAUCGCACCGUAAAGAACCUAACAAGUGAGGAGUAAACAUUGGAGGGUUGAGCAAGAUGAGUCAGAAUCCUCUACGGUGCAUAGUUUGCACCGCAUAAGGCUACAUAACACUGAAUAGCAACCAUGUUAUCUAUCUUGAAAAGAGAUAGCCUCCUUCAAUUUGCAAUACAUCAUGUACCGUACUGAAACCAAGCUGCUCCUAUUCUCAAGAUAGAGAGCUGUUCGUCUCUAAGAUGAAUGACGUGGUGGCUAUCUAAAGCUUUAUUGUUCUCUACGGUGCAAAACAUGCAAUAUAGAGGUUCCUAACUAUAGAAAAAUACCAUAAGGGCUAACGUUAUCUUAGGACACCAUUGACUCUAAAGCAUCGCAAACAUUAAAAACUCACACAGAGAGAAUAUAGAAGAUGCUAGCCUAUUGGGGCGUCUUGAAAGCCCGAAGUAGAGCAGCCAACAUCAUCUCAGGCUGUGUCUAACGGUCACCUUCAUGGCCUAUGUAGCAUUGGGCGUCGAACAGCUCUCCAAAGGGCCAUGCGCACCUUAUCAACAAGAGCUUGGUGAGCAGUAGUGGCAUUGGGUUUUAAGUCCCCAAGCACCGCACAAAAGUAUGGCGGGUGUUGACCAGCCUAUAUAUGGAGGAGCUUGAGAGCCUCCCAAUCUCAGAGUCAUGGUGGUCUAAUAUGAAGGUUUAGAUUGUCUGUGGUGUGUUUUGCACCAUAGAGGGCUUGUGUAGCCUUGCAUAGCCACCAUAUUGUGGUCCAUCUUAGAGACAAAAAGCUAUUUUUCAUCUUGAGAAUUUGAACAAAUCAUGCUUGACAGAGCAUGUGAAAUAAGUGAUGAUGAACAGCAUGAUGGCUAUCCAGAGCUACACGACACUCUUAUAGUAUAAAACACUUAUCGCACAAGAUUCUGACUCCUAGUUCAUACCUAUUUGAUUGGCGGAGGAUUGGUGUGGAUAGAUGACGAUGGUACUAGAUCCAUGUUCGCUGGCCAUGGAUUCAAGCAGCCCUACUUGCUCCAUGAGCUGGCAGGUUGAUGGAUCCAAAACGGAAUACAUCACCAUGAACCCUAAUCCCUCCUUGUAUGCUUUCUUUGAUUGGAUCUUUUUUGGGGUAUACAACUUUUAUGAUGAUACAUGUAGCUUAUGUUUAGUCUCAUAUUAAUUAUACACUAGAUAAAUCUUAGAUAUAUGUACAAUUCUAGGCAGCAUAAGAUAUAUAUUUUAAUCAUAUUGGUUAUACACUUGGUAGAUCUCGGAUACAUAUACAGAUUCAAAAAAUUCAAAUAAUACUCUUCUACUAGCUUUCUUGGAUGGAGUAAUGCUGAUUUUUUUUGGGUACGGGAUGAAGUAAUACCUUUCAGCCAGUCUUUUUAGAUGAGAUAAUAUAUGCUAGGUAGCCACCUCGACAUUGAACAAUCCAUCUCCAUUUGAAAAAUUGUUCAAACAAAUCCCAAAUUACAUCAAGCUCAAGCAAUUUGGCGGCCUAUGUUAUCCCUUAACUAGGCCGUAUAACAAACAUAAACUUGAGCCCAAGGCCCAACCAUGUACAUUUGUGGGUUACUCACUCUCCCAAAAUGCAUAUCUAUGCCUUGAGCCCUUUACACGAAAGCUCAUUCACUCUGGGCAUGUCAUCUUCCACGAAGGGACUUUCCCUUUUCAAAACACAAGCCCUAAAAUUCCCAUGCCCACUUCACCUACAUUAGGCCAAGAAAAUCCCUCCGUCAUGAUCUCGUUGCCAAAAGCCAGCUUCACUCUGCUUCAAGCUCCAGAAACUCCGGUAUUGGGUGCUGAAGUCUCGCCAUCGUCUGCGACUGGGUCACCUCCUGAACCGCCUCCUCAUCAGGUUAGUAACCCCUCUUCCUCUACCUUGAUUUCGAAUCAAAUUUCUCCAUUAGAAGUGCAUGAAUCCAAUGUUUCUGAAAACAAUGAAGUACUCACUUAUCGCAUAUGAGCAAUAUUUAUAAGCCAAAAAAAUCAUUUGUAGUCACUAAGCAUCCUUUUCCACCCUUCUUGGAACCCACGAGUGUUACUGAAGCACUCACUGAUUGACGAUGGCGUGAUGCCAUGUCCUCUAAAUUGACUAUUUUAAUGCAUCACAAUACAUAGCAACUAGUUCCACCACCGAGUGAUUGUAUUAUUGUUAGCUGUAAGUGGGUGUUUCGAAUUAAGAAGUAUGCUGAUUGAUCUGUUGAUCGAUUCAAGGCCAGACUCGCGGCAAAAGGGUUCAAUCAGAGACCAGGACUGGAUUACAAAGAGGCAUUCAGUCCUGUAGUAAAACCAGUCACCAUACGCACUGUGUUAGCCCUUGCUGUUAUGCAAGGUUGGUCACUAAGGCAAUUAGACGUCAAUAAUGCCUUUUUUUAUGGGCAUCUCACUGAAAAAGUAUAUAUGAAAGCAACCACCUAGUUUUAGAAAUCCGGAAAAACCAAAUCAUGUUUGCUGUCUUACAAAGGCAAUAUAUGGGCUAAAACAAGCACCUCGUGCUUGGUACUCUGCCCUCAAACAAGAACUAUUAGAAUUUGGUUUCCUCAAUGCUAAAUCUGAUUCUUCUCUAUUUGUGUUUCAUGAUGGUUCUAUACUUGCCAAUUGCUUGGUGUAUGUUGAUGAAUUUGAUUCUCACUUGAAAUAAUUCGACAUUCGUUGCAAGCAUUAUUGAUCAACUUAGAAAAAAAUUCUCCAUCAAAGACUUGGGAUCAUUACAUCUUUUCCUUGGUGUUGAGGUCAUCCCGACCGAAGAAGGCUUGUUUUUAACUCAGCAUAAGUAUAUCCGAGAUAUACUUGAUAAAACGAGGAUGGAUGGAGCUAAGGAUGUCACAACUCCUCUAUUUACCGCAAUACCUCUAAAGCUGGCAGAUGGUUCCUCAUCAGCUGAUUCAACACAAUACCGAAGAGUGAUUGGAGCAUUGCAAUACUUGUCCUUAACAAAACCUGAUAUAUAGAGAAGGCACACUGCUAUGGUUUUGAAUUUUAAACUCACCAAUCAUUUCUAUUCAUACUCUGUAUAUUUAUACAAUCAGAGAAGCAUAAUUUUAGGUGUACAAAAUAUGUAACUGAAAAGAAAAUUUACAACACAAUAAAUGGUAAUAUGUACAAAAAUAAAAAACUGAUCCUAGAAUUAUGGGAGGCACAAAAAUCUAGUAGUGUUUAUUGCGGUAGCUAGACUUGAGUUGUCACUUGCUUGACUGAUCCUAGAAUCAUGGGAGGCACAAGAAAUCUGGCAGUGUUUAUUGCGGUAGCUGGACUUGAGUUGUCAUUUGCUUGUUUUCUUUAUUUUCCUUAAUAAUUACAACUUUAUUCAACAGUUUCCAUUAUUGAUCAUAAAUUGAUAUUUUUAUAAUACCAAUAUCUUUUAUAGUUGAAAAAUGUCGUUUUAUUGAUUUUCUGUUUGCUUUUGCAAUCAUCAGUGCUUGUUCUACUGGGACCAAACCGCUUGCAAAGUAAACAAUGGCAAAAAGAUAUUGAGCAAUGAAAUUUUGUAGGUGCUUGGUUCCUAACUGAGUUAGGGUUAUUGCAUUUAGGAGAACUAAGCCUCUUUUAGUUACUUCUCCACAUCUCGAACUUGCUUAUCUAAAUCAUAUUAAAGGCCUUUAAUCUGAGCACAAUCUUAAGGUUCUGGACUUUGGAGCUUCAACACCGAAGACAGAAUUUGUGUGCCCCCGAAAAAUCAUAUAUAUGGAAGCACUAUUUGCCAAAACUUGAAGCUCCAGUUACUUAUUGACAAUCAUCAAAAUCUUCAUGGCGAAAAAAUGAUCAGCUAUAAACGAGCCAAAGUCCGCAAGCGUCCCCACCUUUGGCGACAGGGCACAGCUUGACAACUUGCUCGGUUGAGAUCAAGUCUGUGACAUAGAAGUGAAGAAUAACACCAGGCAAUUUGGCGAUUUUGUUGCGGCUGCUGCUGCUCUACAUUGUGCUCCACUUACAGGUAAAAAACGAGACAAGAGGAAGAGAGAAAGCGGAUGGGUGAGGUAGGGGAGAGGCAAGCGAGAAAGAGGGUGCUGUGAGCUUGGGAGAAAGAGGAGAAAUUAGGCUAACAACUAAUAGAAGGCAGAACCAACCCGUUCAUAGAGCGAGGGGUACAUUAGAGUAGCAUAGUAUUAAUUAAGUUGGGUAGUAUAAAGCAAAGGUGGCAAGCGCAAAUGCAUCACAGAACUUGUUCCAGUCAAUGUAAAUCAGUAGUUCUUACCAACUUUUGUGUACCAAUUUUAUAUAAGUACCUGGAUUGGCGUAAUCAUCAACUUAAAGAUUUUUAUCUCCAAUCGAGAGGCUGAAAAAAGCAUAUCAACUAAAAUUAGGAGUUCCGUUUUCAGUCAAUGAAUAUUUAAAUUAGCCACAAUAGUUAUUUGUUAUUACCCUCACAUGCAUUACAAUAUUACAAAUGUAUGGACAUAUAAGGCUAGCAAUCCAACUGGCUAGUUUCACUUCUCUUCUAUAUAUUAUAUAUGUCUAAAUGGAGGCUCAACUUGUGUAGAGUUCUCCAUUCGUUGUAUGAACGCUGGCAUUAAUGAUAUUGAUGUCAAUUUGCUGGAUUAUUAUUAAAUUUUAUUGCUUAAUAUGCAAUAUUUAUUAAUGAUAUCAGUAUUAAUGUGUUGGGCCAUUAUUAAAAUUUAUUUGUUUAAUAUGCAAUAGAAAUUUGGCUUUCAAAAUCUUCUGGAUGUUAUAAUUUAUUACAUUAUCAUAUUACUUUUUACAAAUAGUUUGAAAAAGGAUAAAGAAAUUGUAACCCAUGCAUCAUGUGGGUCAAUAUUAAAACUGUUGGGAUUAAUGAUGGAAGUUUUUGUAUGGUGGCUCACGUUAUGCAAAAUUCUUCAUUCACCAUAUAGAGCUUGCACUAAUGAAGAGAGUUUUUGCUUUUUCAUUAAAAAAAAAAGAGAGAGUUUCAGCUUGGACAUAAUUAAACUUGAUUGUUGAAAUAUUUUAUUUGUGAUGACAUGGUGCAUUACCAUAUUAUAUUUCAACAAUAAUUGAAAAAAAUUGGAAAAAAUAGUACUCCACUCAUUGAUGCGGGUUAUAUUAUAGUUUAUAUAAAGUCUACUGUUUUUUCACUCUAUGUUAUGUAAAGCCGGUAUAGGCCAUAUCAACUUCAUUUAAAAUCAGCAAAUCUUGCCUUAUCUGUAUAAAUAUGCUUAAGGUCUGCUAGAUAUGAAAAUUAGCUCAACUUUUUCCAGCAAUCAAUGGACCAUUUGAUACAGCAUGUGUUGCAUCUCGCACAUGUGCCUUCUCUCUUGAUGUAUGAUCAUGUGGUUGAUGAUGCAUUAAAUCAUCAAAUGGUCCAGUGAGCAACCAUCUGAUUGUACCCAACCCUAAUAAAAUAUUUCAACAAUCAAUGGGCAACCAAUCCUUAGCACCUAAUAAAGAUAUUUUCUAUUCAAUGGGCAACCACAACCAUCUGAUUGUACCCAACCCUAAUUUAGACCAAUGUGCCCUCUCUCUCUCUCUNNNNNNNNNNNNNNNNNNNNACUACUACUACUACUACUACUACUACUACUACUACUACUACUCUCUCUCUCUCUCUCUCUCUCUCUCUCUCUCUCUCUCUCUCUCUCUCUCUCUCUAUAUAUAUAUAUAUAUAUAUAUAUAUAUGAAAUGGAGGCGGGUUCUCCAAUCCUUAGCUAGCAACCUGUAUUAAUGACAUCAAUAUUAAUGUGCUUGGGCAUUAUUAAAAUUUAUCCCUUAAUAUACAACAUAUAUUAAUGAUGACGGUAUUAAUGUACUUGGUUAUCAUUAAGUUUAUUAUUUAAUAUGCAAUAAAAGUUUAGCUAUUAAAGUCUUCUAUUUAUUAUAAUUUAUUAUAUUAUCAUGUUGUAUUCUAAAAAUAAUUGAAAAAAAAAGAGAAACCAUACCGUAUCCAUCAUGCAGGACCAAUUGCCGGUAUAAACAAUGAGAUUUUGCAUGGGGGCUUAGCUCAUGCAGACUUAUCCUUUCACCAUAUAAAUGCCAUCUUAGUAACGGCGGUAUUAAUGAUUGGAGUUUUUGGUUGGCCAUAAUUAAAGUACGUUACUAAUGUGCAACAUAAAUUCAACUAUUAAAGUCUUCUAUUUGGUAUAAUUUGUAAUGCUGCUAUAUUGAAUUUCAAAAAUAAUUAAACAAAGAAGAAAAAAAUCACUUAAAGUUAGCCAACCUUUCCUUAUCUAUAUGCAUUAUAUGCAUAUGCUUAAGGUUUGCUAGAUAUGAAAAUCAGCUCAACUCUUUCUAACAUUCAUUGAACCGCUUGAUCCAGUAUCAUGUUGCAUCUUACACGUAGGCCUUCACGGGUGUUGAUGCAUGAUCAUGUGGCUGAUGAAGCAAGGGACCAUCAAAUGCUCCAAUGAGCAUCAUUGGGUAACCACAGCCAUCCAGUUUUGCUUAGCGUUAGUUUGGACCAGUGGGUCUAUUAUAUAUAUAUAUAUAUAGAGAGAGAGAGAGAGACUAAUAUUAAUAACAUUGAUAUUAAUUUGCUCGGACAUCCUUAAAGUUCAUCAUUUAAUAUGCGACAUAUAUUAAUGAUGUCGAUAUUAAUAUCCUCGGCCAAUAUUAAAAUUUAUUACUUAAUAUACAAUAAAAAUUUAAGCUUAAAAGCUUCUAUUUAUAUAAUUUAUUAUAUUGUCAUAUUGCAUUUUAAAUUUAUUUGUAAAAAGAAGGAAAACGUAUGCUCAGCUUGCGUAAAAUUAUUGAAUACUAGUAUUAAUGAUGAUAUUAAUGAGAAAAGUUUAUAGUUGACUAUAAUUAAAGUGAAUUACUUAAUAUAUAACAAAAAUUUGACUACCAAAAUUUUCUAUUAUUAUAAUUUAUCAUAUUAUUACAUCAUAUUUUAAAAAUAAUUAAAAAAAAUAUUCUGUAAAUCGCAUAAAUUAUAUGCAAGUUUAUAUAAAAUCCACAGCUUUUAGACAUAACUAUUUCAUUUAAAAAUCAGCAAACCUUACCCUCUAUACGCUCAGGGUUUGCUGAAUAUGACAACCAGCUCAACUUUUUUGGAAGCCUUGGCGACUCCGACUCGUGAUGCAAGUUUAUGUGGCUGACGGAGAAUUGAGCGGGCGUAAAACCUCCCCACCUGGCAAAGAUAUUUUGCUAAUCAGUGGGUAGCCGCGUCCAUCGGGUUGAGCCCGCGCCCCUGGUUUGUACCAGCGGGAUCUAUAAAAUGACGGUAAAAUCCCUAAACGCCAUUAGCCCCGUCAUCAAAGGUCGUGCCUUGAAGCGCUCUGUGUGUGUGUGUGUGUGUGUGUGUGUGUCUCCGUCAUCGAAGGUCGUGUGUUGAAGCGAAGCUCCGAUCAGCCAUGGAAGCGGAGGGGAGCAGCUCUUCCGUGAACGCGAUGAUAAUAGAGCCAGCCAGGAAGCGAGCGUGCAGGGAUCGCAUCUCUUCCCUUCCCGAUUCGCUUCUCCUCAUCAUCCUCUCCUUGCUGCCGACCAUCGAUGCAGUCAAGACCAGCACCCUGUCCAAGCGAUGGCGCAACCUCUGGACUCAACUUCGCCACCUGGACCUCCAAUUUUCCCCGGAGAGCUUCAGCCAGAACCCUCAUUACCUUCAAAAGGCCCGGCAGAAGUUCCUCGAGUUCGUCAGCGUCUGCUUGAUUCUCCGCAAGCCCGACCCUCUCCAGCGCUUCCACCUCUCCUUCAACUUCUACGAUCGUGCCAGGCACUCGGCCAUGGUCGACGUCUGGGUCCGCUCCGCUCUCGAGCGGCACGUCGAGGAGCUCAUCCUGGACGUGGCACAUCGCCGAGUAGGCGGCAUCAAUCGGCGUAAGGACAUGUAUUCCUUGCCGAAAACUCUUUAUAGCUAUGGGUUUCUGACGAGCCUGUCCUUGAGCUACUGCGUGAUUAAGCUGCCAGCAAAUCCUUUGUGCUGGAGAUUGUUAAGGAGCUUAGCUCUGAGACUGACGACUCUGAGUGACGACCUGCUUGAGAGAAUUUUCCUGGAAUGCUCCUCUCUCGAGACUCUGAUUCUAAAGGACUGUGAUGGCAUUAGCACAAGAAGUGUAGCUGCUCGGAAUCUUAAGCACCUGACGCUGGAGGAAUUGAGGUAUUCGCUGAAGCUUUCUGCUCCAAAUCUUGUUACAGUGGCUAUUUAUGGGUCGGUCAUGCGUGCGACCCAUUCUUUGAAGGACCUGGUGUCCCUAGUGCGCGCAACCAUUAUCCUUCGAGAUGCACGAAUGGGGUAUUACAAUAGUGUGGACCGGGUGGCCAACCAUCCGUUAAAUAGUCUUCUUAUGGAUGUUCGUCAUGCACAAGUUCUGACAUGGUGCAAUUGCUGCACUGUGGUAUGUCUACGUUGAACUUUAAUUGAAUAUUUCAAUUUUCCAUCUAAUUGUGAUGUUUUAUAUCAGUCCGUUUAUUUAUCAACAAUCGCAAGUCCCUUAACGUUUAGUCGCAUCGUAUCAUAUAUUGAAGGCCUCUGUAGAUUUUGAUCGAUAAGAUUAUUGAAGCCAGAGGAUAAUUCAGAAAAAAAGAACCUCAUCUUUAAUUGUAUUUCUAAUCUCUAUUUUGUUUGUAUUUGUCAUUAUUAUAUUUCAAUUGUUCUAAUGUUCAGGAAACGUGGUCAUUUUUGCGGAUCAUAACUCUUUACAUACUACAUUAUAGCGUUCAAAAGAAAAUGAUGUAUUGUACUAUGCGUGGUAGAUUUAUUCUGACGGAGCCGUACAAUCCUUAAGUACUUUAUUGAUACCAAUAGCUGAAUGAUUUCUUAUGCGUUCUUCAGUUAGAUAGUUUGGCCAUUUGUUUCGCUGUGAAGCUUCAUUUCCUUUCUUUUCUUUUAUCUUGAGACUGGUGAUUAGUGAAUUUGCUCUCUAAUGUUCCUUUUUCCUCAAGAUUUUAUAAGUAUUUUAUUCUUCCGGAAAUGGGAAGCAAGAUGAGCAGACCUCUUUUCAAUGAGUUAACAUAGAUAGACAAUUGAUGUUGCAUUAUAGAUCUAUAAAGUCUAGUGAAAAUUAUGUUCUAGCUACUCUUAGACCAUGUAAAGAUUCUUUGUGGGUUCUAAAUAUCUUUUAUUCGCAUAUCAUUCUCUAGAUUUCUUUUCUUUUUUCCAGAGAACCUUUUCUACUUUGUUUUCAUAUUUUCAUGAAAUGAAUUGAUGGGUUCUUCCCAUCCUUUUCUAAUGAAUAAAAGGAUGAAGCUUUGAUUAGCUUAGAGAUGAACGAAGAAUCAUAGGAACUGUUGGCGAGAGCUGUAGUAUGCGACAUUGUGAUUUUCUGUCUGGAUAGGUGAGUAAAAAUGAAAAAUUAUACAGAUAACUUUAAGUUGAAAGUUCGCUCAGAACUUCUAUAAUUUCUCAUUUACUGAACCGGAAAUACAGUUUGGACCACAGACUGUUUGAGGUUCCUUAUUAAACUCUUUUACAAAGGGCGUUAAGUUUACGCUGCUUUUUGACAAAUCAAGUGUAACAACCCAAGGCCUCAUCCAAAAUGGCUAGCCGGAAAUUAUUGUUUGGGUUCCUAGAUCCUGUAUAAGUAUCCAAGAUCUACCCAGCGAAUAACUGAUGUGGGACUAAACACACGCCCGCACGGAUCCUCACAUACUCUCCCCGUCAAUCGGUCCGUGGUCAACCCCAAUGGAUCCGUGCUGCAGUGUCCCCUAGUCCACAUAAGUUAUAGGCCGGGUCCGCUCUGAUACCAUUUAUAACAACUCAGGAUCUCGUCCAAAAUGGCUAGUCAUAAGUUAUUAUUUGGGUUNNNNNNNNNNNNNNNNNNNNNNNNNNNNNNNNNNNNNNNNNNNNNNNNNNNNNNNNNNNNNCACGGAUCCUCACAUCAAGCGCCCAAUCAAAGUUUGUUGCCUGAGUUUUUAGUUGGAUCAUGUUGUUUUCUCCUGAAGCUAAGCGUAGAUGGGAGCCGUAAAGGUUCUCUGCACACAUUGAGGUGGAACAAACUCUAUUCGAUAGUUAAGGAGCAAGUUUAUUAUCCAGUAAAAUAUAGAAUAAGCUCUUUUUCUUUAUUUAUAAGUAGAAGAUUGAGAAAGGAAUCAACAAAGUUGGAAGUGGAGUUCAAACUCUACUUCCCUAGGAGGCUCAUGGUGGAACCCUAGCAGGCUUUCGGGAAAGGGAAAGCCAUUAGCGAGGUAAAUUGGGAUGCUAAUGGGAUCCACAGCGCAGGAGUGCUAUGGUUUAGCGCCACUUCUAUGGUCGUGGAUUCAGGCCAAGCCCGGGAAGCGAAGGUCGAUCAGGAGCUAGGAGGAGGACAGAAGAGGUCAAUCAGCGCUGUUAUCCGUGGAUAGCCUCGCCCUACUUGGAUGUGUUCGCUGGCUAUCCGUGCGUAGCCUCUUACUCCGUGGGAACCCCGGUGUAAACGAAUAGGGAGCGGACGUGCGUGGAAGCGAAGAAGCUUAAUUAGUCCUUGGUUUUAGGAGAAAAGAGAUUCUGAUAAGACUUCGAUUCAUCUUAUCGCUGAGAAGCGGAACAAGAGUUUCUGCAAUCGGAAAAGCUACUUUCUCCCUCGCAGCUCUCCUCGGCGAACCUCUUCCCCGCCUAUGGUAUUAAUUUGGCGGAAGCGAAAGAAGCUGGAAAGUAGAGUUCAAACUCUACUUCCGCUCAUGGAGGAUGACAUGAUGGUCAAUCCUCGGUCUUACCUUCGGACGUGCGCGCAAACCUUGCAUGCUUUCGGGAAAGGGAAGGCCACUAUAGCGAGGUAAAUCUGGAUCAUAAUGGCCGGAUGCAUGGCGCGGGAUGCAGAGGUCGGACCUUUCGGUAAUGAUCGCGGAUUCAGACGAAGCACAUCGACGCAUGGCUGGGAAGCGAAAGAUGAUCGAGCUAGGCGGAAGGCCACCGGACUCCUCCACCAAUGGCUCCAAAUAGGCGGAAGUACGGCUCUCUCUUUCCGAGCGCUAUUACGGGCUGCUUUACGUCCUGUGCUGCGGCGGGCCUCCUGGAAUUUCCCACCAUUUCCUUGAAACAAAGAUUGGUCUGAAUUCCUUCUCAUGUACGAGCAUAAUAAAAGAACAAUUCAAAAGGGUUGCCUCAAUCGCUUCACACCUUUGCAUGCAUGUUGCUAAUUGCCACCAACUACACCAAUUAGCAAAAAAUACUUUUUGAUGGUGAUUCGCAUGAAACGAAGUAACACCACUAUUAUCUCUGCUCUGGUGGUGUGGCCCGGAAGGGUGUUACCACAAGAUAAAAUGCUUAUAUUUUUAAUUGACGUUCUUAUAUUUUUAAUGCCGAUAAAAUGCUUAGCUCGCAUGAUAUAAUAACAAGAGAGACUCAACGUAAAGAGUUCUCCGGAGAUAGGAUACGAUGGGGAAAUUCCGAUAUGGACGGUUGGAAAGGUAAAGAAAGAUCCCAUUUAGCUUCUAUAAUAUUUAUAAAAAUAAGAGUUUAGAAAACAAGAUUAAGGAUUUCUUUUUUAUUUUUAUUCAGAAAGCACGCUUCCUAUCUCGUAUUAUCUUAAAAACUAAUGUUAAUUAUUCCACAUUCUCGCUCACGUUGGCUACCAAAUUUACUCUUUAUUCUCCUUUUCCAAUCAAAUCAUACUCUUUUUAUAAAUUGCCCAAAGAGAUUGAUUUUAAUUUCUUAUAUUUUCUAAUCCAAUUCCAAUAUAGAUUGGACAUUUUGAUUCAACUGCUCGGUUAAUUUCUCUCCUCUCUUUCCUCCAACAUGCCUAGUUGCCGGUUUAUGUUAAAAGAACAAGUAUCUCUCUCCUCCUCUUCCGAAUCAUAUCUCUUUUAUAUAACUUUCAAACCACUUGGACUAUCUUUCUCAAAUAUAACUCCUAAAAGUUUUGGAUUCCGAGAUUCGCAUUAAAUUACUAAUUACCUUUAGGUAGUUUCAAGUCCAAACUUUUUCUCUCCGUACUUACCUUUCGCAGGUAUGAACAAAACAUACAAUGCAAAAACAUGUCCUGCAAUAGAACCAAGAUGUUCUAUGGCUCCUUUCCUCAUGAUUAAUCAUCAAUGAUCAUGUAUCUUUAGCUAUGGGAAAAGCUUGUCUAAUGGCUACAUGCUUACAAACAAAUCAGGCUACAUACUUAGCUUUACCCUUUGGUCUCUAAGUUACAUUGUAUAACUUUGUGGACGAUUCUGAUGUCCACAAGAGACAUCCAUUUAGCCAAAAUGCGUCAUGUACGUUGUAGUCGGACUCUUGAAAAUAUUAGAUAUUAAACAACAAUGCUAUUUGAAGUAGUGUGUUUAGCGCGUUCAAUGUAUAUGUUUUUCUCCUUGGAAAAAGUAUUAGUUGAAGCGAAAUUCUUGGAUGAUUUUUUUCUCGGUUGGAAAAGGAUUAGGGAAGGGGGAGGCGGACGGGGUUCAGCUUCCUAUCUUUCUCGGGUUCCACUUUUAACCGACAAUUUUUGAGAGAAAAAUCUAGCCCACGUAUUUGUUUCUGGUAAACAAGCAACGGAAUUUUAAAAACUAACAUAAACACGCAAACCAAGGAGUUCGGUUGACGCGAAGCCUUAGGGCAUAUAGAUUGAGGCUAAAAUAAAAUAAAGAAGAAAAAGCGCAUGUGGCAUGAGUUUUUUACUUCUUAACCUGGAGAAGGAUAAAAUUUUUGUUAUCCGUGGGGCUGCAAACCGGCCAGGUGUGUGCGGGCAUAUGUUUAGUUCCAUAUCAGUUAUUCACCGAAGAGAUCUUGGGUACUUAUACAUGAUUAAGGAAUCCAAAAAAUAUCUUUCGGCUAGCCUUUUUGAGUGAUGCUUGGGUUGUGACAAAUGGUAUCAGAGUGAACUCGACCCAUAACCUAUGUGGACUAAGAGAUAUUGCAGUAUGAGUUUAUGAAGGUUGACGACGAGCCAUUCAUGGUACUUGUAAUUAAAUUUGAAUGGAUUUGAAAUUUUAGCUUGACGAUGGUGUUAGGGCUUCAACGGGAGGACCAAGAAUAUCAGAGCUUCAACGGGAGGAGUAUGUGAGGAUCGGUACGGGCGUGUAGUAAUUAGUCCCACAUCAGUUAUUGGCCGAAAAAAUCUUGGAUACUUAUACUGUACAGGACUAAGAAACUCAAAUAAUACAUUCCGGCUAGCCAUUUUAGGUAAGGUCCUGAGUUGUUACAAAUGAUAUUAGAGCGAACUUGGCCCAUAGCCUAUGUGGACUAGGGGACAUUGUAGCACGAGUUUAUAAAGGCUGACCAUGGGCCGAUAGUAGUGCUUGAGAUUAGAUUUGAAUGGAUUUGAACCCUUUGCCUGACAAGGACGUUAAAGCUUCAACGAGGAGAGUAUGUGAGGAUCCGUAUGGGUGUGUGUUUAGUCCCACAUCAGUUAUUUGCCGAAGAGAUCUUGGGGACUAAGGAACCAAAAAAUAAUUUUUGGUUAGUCUUUUGAGGUGAGAUUCUGGGUUGUUAUAAAUGAUAUCAAAACAAACUCGACCCAAAGUCUAUGUGGACUAGGAGACACUACAGCACAGGUUCAUGGAGACUGACUCUAGGCCAAUCAUAGUGCUUGUGAUUAGAUUUGAAUGGAUUUGAAUUCUUAGUCUGACAAAAACGUCAGGGCUUGAACGGAAAGAGUAUGUGAGGAUCCGUGCAGGCGUAUAUUUAGUCCCACAUCGGUUAUUCGUCGAGAAUAUCUUGGAUACUUAUACAGGAUUAAGGAAUCCAGAAAAUAUUUUCCGGCUAGCUUUUUUGAGUGAUAUCCUAGGUUGUGACACUUGGUCAGAUCAGGUAUGCUUGAUCCUAAUUUUACCCAGUUUCAUGUAUGCGUCUUAGUAUUGAAUCUAGAUCCAAUCUAAUAACUGAUUGGAUCGGCUUCUUUUAAAAUAUUUUAGACCAAAUGGGUCGUUCAAUCUGGUCCGGAUCAUUUAUAAUCUGGAUCCAACCUAAAAUAAAUGGAUCCGAGUUGGAUCGAGGUUGGGUUUGAUUCGUGUCCAAGAUCUACAUUUAUUUGCUAACAAUAUUUUAUGGAGGAACAUCCGAAUCAAACUAAAUUUUGAUGGCAAUAAAAUUAUUUGGUAACAUUGCCAAAGCUUCAUGAAUUAAUGUUCAUCUUGAACUUCAAUCUAUUUCAAGAGGUUGAUAAUCUCAACAACUAUCUUUAUUUAAUAUAGUGAGAUUAGUUUGAACGUUUUUCUAUUAACACAGAAAAAGAGGAAUGAUUUGGAAUACUUUCUUCGGAUCAAAUUGAGUCGGCUUGAGUUGGGUAACUAAUAGGAAGAUUAGAAAUAGAAUUAUAAAGUGUAUAGAUUGGGUGGGGUUGAAGUUUAUAAAAUCCAGACUUAAUCCAAAAUAUGGAAUGGGUCCAAUAUUUGAACCCAACCCAGACCAUGGGUCUUAAAGAAUGGAUUGGGUUGGAUCUAUCCAGGUCGUAUUGGGUCCGGUCUAAUCAGGUUGGUCGGGUUGGCUCACCAAUCAUUCUGACCUAUUUGUAGCCUUAGCUAUCUCAUCUAUGGGUUUUUUUUAUUCAGAAGACCUAGUGUCAUUUAUUUCAUUUCUUUAUUCACAUCACUAAAUUGUAUUCCUGUAGUUUCUCCUCAUACCUAAGACUUCCCCCAUUAAAAAAUUAGAAGAGAUAAACAUCACAAUUAUCAUGUUUUAUCUCAUGUCUAUAAUGCUACUUUCAUUAAACUAAAUAGCCAACAAGUAUGAAGGAGACAUAAACUAUAGUUAUAUCUUAAAAAUAUAAUUUAUAUUUUCAAAAUAUAAACAAGAUGUAACAACAAAAGUUCUUCAAUGUCCUCAUGCUCAUGGUUUCCUGAAUGCAUUCCAUAGAUAGCGCUUGCAAUUACGAUUGGCCGACUAGACGCUCCUAAUUCUAAUUGUUUUGACUCGGGAAAUUUUUAUACUAAUUUAAAGUUUUGCCAAAAAAAUGAACGAAUGAUGCGAACUCAUCUUAUAAUCAUUGCAUUUGAAACCUAAUCCUCACUGUUUGCCUUUCGUAGUUGUUGGCUCUGCAGGAAAUAAGAAAUCUCCAGUCACCCUUUAUGAGGCCGAGGAAGUUGGUUUUGAAGGUUACUUUACGUAGGUGGGAGACCCCUGGGAUAUACAACUUGCUAAGACGGUCACCAGAGCUUGAGACGCUUGUUCUACAGAUAAAUGCCCCAGAUGCAUGUCGUGGACCCAAGGUGGGCAUUAGAAACCUCUCAACUCUUUUGUUUCAUCUUAUUGACCUUCUUUUGUGCUUCUUCCAAGACUAACUGCAGACGUACUUGCAUUUCAGUUUAUUGGAGAAUUCAAGAGGGUCAGCAAAUUUUUCUUAAGUAUUUAUUCAGAGCCAAAGAGCACCGAACUCUCUUGUUUGAAGCAUCAUCUGAAGAACUUUGAGGUAGAGGACUUCACGGGACUGCUCUCUAAUGAUAGCUUGUCAAGGGCGGGCUACCUCAAGUACCAAGAGAGGGUCCUGGGGCUUGUAAGGUUUAUCCUGAGGAAAGCUUUUGUUUUGGAGAAAUUGACUAUGCGCAUGGCUCAGAUGCCCAACUUCGAAGAAAUCUCGGUGGGUAACCAGAGGCAGUUAGAUACUACUCGGAAGAUUCUGUCUUUCCCGAAAGCCUCCCAUGCUCGGAUAGUGUUUCUUACAAAUGGAAUGUAGACUUAAUUUUUAGUAUGAUUGGUCAUUGAUUGGUGGACGCUGCAUUUUUGAAUUUGAAAGCUGGAUGUAGUCUUAAUCUGCAGUAUUGGUUAUUAAUGGCGGGCUAUGUAAUCUAAAAUUUGUAAGCUGGUAUAUUUGAGUUAUGCAGGAAAUUAUUCCCCUGAAUUCUCAUUCAACAACUCGCUCUUAUGUGGAAACUCAUCAUCUUGUUAUGUCUGAUGAAAGAGAUCAGGAUUUUUUUUUUUUUGGAGCAAUACAGAGCUAAGAAUUAUUGGCAGUAGAUUAGGAUAUUAUUUUCAGUACAUGAUGCUUUCAUUCGGAGGGUAAAAAAUAUGUACAUGAAUUCUUUGAACCUGCAGCUUUGCAUGAAAAAAACUUAAUUCUUGCCCUUGAAAAAAAGGGAGGUGGUGGGAAACCUGAAAGAACGCAUCACCUUUUCUCUGAUGUUAAGGGAGGCAAAACUGCCACCCGGUCUCUAUUAAAAAUCACAUAGCAUGCACAACAGAGGUAAAGAUACAGAGAAGAGUGAGUUUUUUGACAGCUCUACAUGAGGGCUGUUGCAGUGACGUGAAAGUAGAUAGGAGCAGGGCGGAGAGUUUCAGUCAAAGAAAAGGAUAACACACGAACAGAGGCUAAAAAACACAGCAGAAGAAACAGAUCAGCUUCGCUGCAGGAUUUUUGGCAGAGCUGGUUUCAGAAUGAGGAAGAAAAAAGUGAGUCAGAGAGAGGACAAGAAAGCAUUGAAUCUGUAAUUACUUGAAAGGGCUCUAAACACAUUCUCUUGGUAACUAGUUUAUCAUCUCUUCCACUCCAUUUCUUUUGUUUGAAAUCUUAAAAUCAUUGCCUGAUUUAACCUUCUGGUGCCUUUUAAAGCAAGCAUACCUGAAGGAGUUGUUUCUCUUAUUUGCAUGUUAUGAUUUUUCAAGUUACAGCACAUGUAUAGAUUUUCUGAUUUAGCAUUGCUGAAACACAGUUAACCUAUUGUUCAGUAAGAGGCUUAGCUUGGUGCAUUGGGAACUUUCAAACAGCUUUACUGUGGUAUAAAAGGCAGAUUAAUGCAGGGAUUCUUACAGGUGACUGCCUCAACCUUGUUUGGUUAUUAAGAAAGCGACGAUGCAUGAUUGCAAAAGUUUUUCAUUGGUAAUUUACCUGAUAAAUUUUGUGUUAUCAAAUGCUCUUCUUUUUUCUUGUUGGAUGAGGAAAAUUUAUGGAGUUAGCAAAAGAAAAUGUGGCCAAAUGCAGGUCCUGUUUCAUUACAAAUAUAUUCACAUUUCAGAUUUUUAGAAGUCAUGUAGUUCUACAAUUAUAUGCUUGGCUUUAACAGAUUCGCUGCUGAUCAUUUCAUUGAAGCCAUUCAGUCCUUCCAUUCCCUCUGCCUGUCUGUUGGUAUAAAGAAUUAUGACAUGGCAUUCUUUGAUUCGACAGAUUUGUUGGAUAGCAAGGCAGAUUCACACCCUUUCCAGAAAGGGUCUGACAAUGGUUUCCCACCACUUGUUUGCUCCUAGAAACCCUCCCAUCCUUGGAGGGCAUAUAAUUUUCUUUUGAGAUUAUGGUGACUAUUUUUCACCACUCGGUUUUGAACAUAAGACCUCUUACUUGAAGAGAUGGGAGGCAAACUAGCUAAUCUACGAACUACUAAUGAGAGCAUAUAUAUAUAUAUAUAUAUAGUAGACCAAUGCUGUGAGUACUUGGAAACUCAUCAGCUACAAACUUUAACGAAAUAUGAACUAUGCAGAGCCAAUAACUGUUUCAGCAAAUGAAAUCAUGCUACAUCCUUCAGUUUUAAUAUGUAACACGAAGAACAAGAAAGCAAAAGAUUCUACAGAGCAAAUCUUCAAAAUUCUCUGCAUUGGACCUAAUUUGCCUGCUGAACAUAGAUAUAGAUAGUCAAAAACAAAUUUUGAUGCAGAAUAGAAAAUCUAAUAAGACCUAUUAGGAAUUUGGAACAUCUAUAAUAGCAGAUACUUGGAGGAAGAUGAGCAACAUGUAAUGGAGUGAUGAGCCUAAUAAUAUAGACCAUCUCUCAUUAGAUGCAAAUUACAGAUUUUUUUUAUAAAGUCAAUCUGCUAGAAAACCGAAAGACAACUAAAUUAAAGGACAAUAUAGAUCAAUCAGGCAGGCAGAGCAAGCAAUAGAACUAAACUGUACAUGAUACAUUCGAAUAAAAACCCCCCUCUCAACAGCAUUAGUUGUAACCCUGGCAUGAAUGAAAUGUUUGGUAAAGCAGCAUAACAAAUAAAUGGCCUGAAAAACAUGUAUUUUAAAACUCCAAGUCCAACUCAAACAGGUAUAAAUAACAGAAAUUGUAUUAAAAAUUCUUUUGAUGUUAUUCCACAGAAGAAAAAUCUUACUGUAUUUCCGUACACAUCAGAAGAUGAUCAAAAUAUGAAAGUGUGAAAAGAUCAACAAGAAAUAUCUUCUCAGGAAUUUGAAUUGCAAGUUCCAAGAUCACUAUGGAAUUUCUAUAUCAUUGAUCAACGCAAAAGACAGAUCAAAAGGAAUGUAAAACCUC
This 42099-nucleotide long non-coding RNA is filed under the name Phoenix dactylifera (date palm). Its description in RNAcentral is "long non-coding RNA (PDAC_LNC004893)". Lineage: Eukaryota; Viridiplantae; Streptophyta; Magnoliopsida; Arecales; Arecaceae. The record is from RNAcentral.